RNAcentral lists this ribosomal RNA (341 nucleotides) under Harpactea rubicunda. RNAcentral's name for it is "partial large subunit ribosomal RNA". It matches the Rfam family "Bacterial large subunit ribosomal RNA", at positions 1972 to 2600 of the family's 2925-position model. Lineage: Eukaryota; Metazoa; Arthropoda; Arachnida; Araneae; Dysderidae. The record is from RNAcentral.
CCUUUUAAUUCAAGGAUUGCAUGAAAGGGUCCCCGAGUUUUAGACUGUUUCAAAAAUCAAAAAUAAAAUUAAUCCAACAGUAAAAAAUCUUUUAUUAUACAGAAAGACGACAAGACCCUAACAAACUUAUACUAAAGUUUAGCUGGGGCGGCAAAACAAAAACAUCUUACUUCUCUACACACCCCCCUUCCUCAAUUCCACCAGUUACUGUAGGGAUAACAGCACAAUGUUUUUCCAAAGUUCUUAUUUACAAAAAAGAUUGUGACCUCGAUGUUGAAUUAAGUUGUCUAAUAGACGCAAAAGACUAAAAAGAAAGUCUGUUCGACUUUUAAACACUUACA